Caenorhabditis elegans is the source of this 150-nucleotide non-coding RNA. The record is from Ensembl. Lineage: Eukaryota; Metazoa; Nematoda; Chromadorea; Rhabditida; Rhabditidae.
CGAUAAUCGAUAAUUUGAAAUAAUAAAUCCUCACUUACAACACCUUUGAAAUGGCAAUCUACAAAAAAGCUUCUUACUUUUUUUGGAAGCACAUCUUGCCAUUUGAUGUACAAGAAACAGAGAAGUGCGGCACAUUUUUUCGAAACAUUU